This 503-nucleotide ribosomal RNA is filed under the name uncultured bacterium. Its description in RNAcentral is "partial 16S ribosomal RNA". It matches the Rfam family "Bacterial small subunit ribosomal RNA", at positions 30 to 523 of the family's 1533-position model. The record is from RNAcentral.
AUUGAACGCUGGCGGCAGGCUUAACACAUGCAAGUCGAGCGGGGUGAUGGUGCUUGCACUAUCACUUAGCGGCGGACGGGUGAGUAAUGCUUAGGAAUCUGCCUAUUAGUGGGGGACAACAUCUCGAAAGGGAUGCUAAUACCGCAUACGUCCUACGGGAGAAAGCAGGGGAUCUCUUGUGACCUUGCGCUAAUAGAUGAGCCUAAGUCGGAUUAGCUAGUUGGUGGGGUAAAGGCCUACCAAGGCGACGAUCUGUAGCGGGUCUGAGAGGAUGAUCCGCCACACUGGGACUGGGACACGGCCCAGACUCCUACGGGAGGCAGCAGUGGGGAAUAUUGGACAAUGGGGGGAACCCUGAUCCAGCCAUGCCGCGUGUGUGAAGAAGGCCUUAUGGUUGUAAAGCACUUUAAGCGAGGAGGAGGCUCUUUUGGUUAAUACCCAAGAUGAGUGGACGUUACUCGCAGAAUAAGCACCGGCUAACUCUGUGCCAGCCGCCGCGGUAA